AUAUCUCUCUGUACGGGAAGGAUGAGAAGCUUCGACUAAGGUUCGAUUCGAGCGAAAGCGAGAAAGCGUUGCCAACGGCAACGACCC
Molecule: small RNA, 87 nt
Filed under: Salmonella enterica subsp. enterica serovar Oranienburg
Lineage: Bacteria; Pseudomonadati; Pseudomonadota; Gammaproteobacteria; Enterobacterales; Enterobacteriaceae
Also listed under: 1 other name
Description: partial RtT sRNA
Rfam family: RtT RNA
About the family: This family represents a bacterial cis-regulatory element known as RtT RNA. The exact function of RtT is unknown although it is thought that it may be involved in changing the cellular response in relation to amino acid starvation.
Source: RNAcentral